UCACUCGGCUCGUGUGUCGAUGAAGAGCGCAGCCAACUGUGUGAAUUAAUGUGAACUGCAUACUGCUUUGAACAUCGACAUCUUGAACGCAUAUUGCGGCCACGGGUUAGCCCGUGGCCACGCCUGUCCGAGGGUCGGCUUAUAAACUAUCACGACGCCCUACAAGUCGUGGCUUGGGUCUUGCCAGCUGGCGUGAUUUCCCUAUACUUGGCUAUUUUGCUGGGUUCGGGUGCCAGAUCUAUGGCGUCUCCCUAAUGUAUCCGGGCACAUCCGCAUCUUUGUAUUAAAAGGGUGAGGGCGUGGCGACGGAGUCGUGGCUCAAUUGUAUAUAACACGCUCCGAAUCGUAGUGGUCCCAAUUCCUAUGAUGUGAUGUUGUCUGUCACCGAGUGCAGCCCCAAUGGGUGCAUUCUAUUCCUGACCUCGGAUCAGACGUGAGUACCCGCUGAACUUAAGCAUAUCACUAAGCGGAGGAAA
This 476-nucleotide ribosomal RNA is filed under the name Bunodera luciopercae. Its description in RNAcentral is "eukaryotic LSU rRNA". The stretch from base 1 to 137 matches the Rfam family "5.8S ribosomal RNA", at positions 17 to 154 of the family's 154-position model. Lineage: Eukaryota; Metazoa; Platyhelminthes; Trematoda; Plagiorchiida; Allocreadiidae. The record is from RNAcentral.